Molecule: ribosomal RNA, 253 nt
Filed under: uncultured bacterium
Lineage: Bacteria
Description: partial 16S ribosomal RNA
Rfam family: Bacterial small subunit ribosomal RNA
Source: RNAcentral
GACGAACCGUGCAAGCGUUAUUCGGAAUCACUGGGCAUAAAGGGCGCGUAGGCGGCUUUCUAAGUCAGGGGUGAAAUCCGGCAGCUCAACUGUCGCAGUGCCUUUGAUACUGGAGAGCUCGAGGGAGGUAGGGGUCUGUGGAACUUCCGGUGGAGCGGUGAAAUGCGUUGAUAUCGGAAGGAACGCCGGUGGCGAAAGCGACGGACUGGAUCUCAUCUGACGCUGAGGCGCGAAAGCCAGGGGAGCAAACGGG